Molecule: ribosomal RNA, 484 nt
Filed under: uncultured delta proteobacterium
Lineage: Bacteria; Deltaproteobacteria
Description: bacterial SSU rRNA
Rfam family: Bacterial small subunit ribosomal RNA
Source: RNAcentral
GAGUUUGAUCGUGGCUCAGGACGAACGCUGGCGGCGUGCUUAAUACAUGCAAGUCAAACUUGCCUUGCGGUAGCAAUACUGUAAGGAGAGUGGCGCACGGGUGCGUAACGCGUAGGUAAUCUGCCUUUGGGUCUGCCAUAAUCCAGCGAAAGCUGGACUAAUAUCAGAUGAUGCAGCGGCACCACAUGGUGACAGUUGUUAAAGUUUCGACGCCCAAAGAUGAGCCUGCGUCCCAUUAGGUAGUUGGUAGAGUAAAAAGCCUACCAAGCCGACGAUGGGUAGCUGGUCUGAGAGGACGAUCAGCCACACUGGAACUGAGACACGGUCCAGACUCCUACGGGAGGCAGCAGUAAGGAAUAUUGCUCAAUGGCCGAAAGGCUGAAGCAGCAACGCCGCGUGAGGGAUGAAGGGCUUUUGCUCGUAAACCUCUGUAAAAUGGGAAAAAUAUCCUACCUUGUAGGAUUGAUUGUACCAUUAGAGUAAG